GUGCCAUUAGCUCAGUUGGGAGAGCAUACGACUUUUAAUCGUAUGGUCAUUGGUUCAAAUCCAAUAUGGCACA
RNAcentral lists this transfer RNA (73 nucleotides) under Caudoviricetes sp. RNAcentral's name for it is "tRNA-Lys". It matches the Rfam family "tRNA". From Rfam's summary of the family: Transfer RNA (tRNA) molecules are approximately 80 nucleotides in length. Their secondary structure includes four short double-helical elements and three loops (D, anti-codon, and T loops). Further hydrogen bonds mediate the characteristic L-shaped molecular structure. tRNAs have two regions of fundamental functional importance: the anti-codon, which is responsible for specific mRNA codon recognition, and the 3' end, to which the tRNAs corresponding amino acid is attached (by aminoacyl-tRNA synthetases). tRNAs cope with the degeneracy of the genetic code in two manners: having more than one tRNA (with a specific anti-codon) for a particular amino acid; and 'wobble' base-pairing, i.e. permitting non-standard base-pairing at the 3rd anti-codon position. Lineage: Duplodnaviria; Heunggongvirae; Uroviricota; Caudoviricetes. The record is from RNAcentral.